Molecule: ribosomal RNA, 468 nt
Filed under: uncultured bacterium
Lineage: Bacteria
Description: partial 16S ribosomal RNA
Rfam family: Bacterial small subunit ribosomal RNA
Source: RNAcentral
GACGAACGCUGGCGGCGUGCUUAACACAUGCAAGUCGAACGGAAAGGCCCUGCUUUUGCGGGGUGCUCGAGUGGCGAACGGGUGAGUAACACGUGAGUAACCUGCCCUUGACUUUGGGAUAACUUCAGGAAACUGGGGCUAAUACCGGAUAGGAGCUCCUGCUGCAUGGUGGGGGUUGGAAAGUUUCGGCGGUUGGGGAUGGACUCGCGGCUUAUCAGCUUGUUGGUGGGGUAGUGGCUUACCAAGGCUUUGACGGAUAGCCGGCCUGAGAGGGUGACCGGCCACAUUGGGACUGAGGUACGGCCCAGACUCCUACGGGAGGCAGCAGUGGAGAAUAUUGCACAAUGAGCGGAAGCCUGAUGCAGCAACGCCGCGUGCGGGAUGACGGCCUUCGAGUUAUAAACCGCUUUCGCCUGUGACGAAGCGUGAGUGACGGUAAUGGAUAAAGAAGCACCGGCUAACUACGUG